Molecule: long non-coding RNA, 2270 nt
Organism: Hypanus sabinus (Atlantic stingray)
Lineage: Eukaryota; Metazoa; Chordata; Chondrichthyes; Myliobatiformes; Dasyatidae
Exons: 6
Source: RefSeq, a predicted model, not a curated record
GAAGCGAGGCGCCCGGAGCCGGAGCCGGAGCGCGGGCGGGCGGGCGGGCGAGGCGCCGUCGGGGAGCGGCGCGAGGUGAAGCCUCCCCGUGGCCGCCCGGGCGGCUCGAGCCGACUCCCCGGCGGCCUCGCGCCCAUUCCCUCCCGGAGAGCCCGCAAGCAGGUCUGAGUGUAUGUUGGUCAUAGGAAGAGACCAUUUCGUUCAGCAUAAUGUCAUAUACUGUAUUUCCUGUAUACUGCUACUGCUGUAUUUCCUGCUACGAUCUGGUGGUUUGACUGGAGCAGGGACAAGAGAGUGUGUCUGCACGCGAGGAUAUACAAAGGAGAGCAGUGGGCAUUUUUUACCGGAUUUUCAGAAAGACUUUAAUAAGGUGCCUUACACGAGGCUGUUGAACAAGAUAGGAGCCUAUGGUAUUUCAGGAAGGACACAAGCAAGUAAAGAGGCAGCCAAAAAACAGAGAAACCCAAGGGAACCCGUUAAAAAAAAGAAGACAGUCAAAUGCCUAAUGUGCAGAUAAAAAAGCAAAUUAUGGAAGUAAUAAAAAUAAGCAAAUAACAUUCAGAACUGAAGUUGAUGAAAAUAAGAAAUCAAUGGAAUUCUUUAACCUGGAGAGUGGUGAAGGGUCAAUCCCUGAAUUUGGUAAAAACAGAAAUGAACAGCUUUCUGGAUGUCAAUGGGAAUCAAGGAUUUUGGAGAUGGAUUAUUGCAAUCCUCCAGGUUGGGAGGUUCAGCUCAGAGUUAAUAACCUUAACUAGUUAACCAACACGAUUACAGAAACAGCAAUGAAGAAUCCUUCUACAUCUGUGUGCAAUGGUAUUCCAGAGCCUCCACCUGGGACUUGCAUGACUGACAGUAAACGGACAGAAAGCUACUGACACAAUGAAGGAAGCCGUGAACGUCGCCAGAGAUGGAGGAGCUUCAUUACUGCCCUAAAUGUGAGCAACGUAACAGGGGAAAGAAGAAGAUUAUUGCAAACAACUGCAUUUCAUAACUUUCAAAACUGUUUUCUGUUAUGUUUAUGCAUUGUGAUUACUUCUCUUGUUACAGUGAAAAAAACUAAAGGCAGUCCUCUUCAUAUAUCACCAUCCACCAAGAAUGAAAAGUAUGAAAUGACUCAAUGACAAACUGAAUGAUUCAAUUCAGACUGAUAACUUACCAUACCUGGUCUUGCAAGCCACAUUGUUAUGUACUUUUAUCCAAUGUAUACAGCAGACAAUUAAAUGUAUUUCUGCUGCAUUUCAUUUCUGUCCAUAAAAUUAAACUGCUGGUGGUGAAAUUGUUCAUGGAUAUCCUCAUGAUAUCCCUUCAUCCAAUAUUUUGGAUGAGUAGAUGAUAUUGUAAAGACUUCAAUAAUUAUUGUAAAGUGUCUGACCAUUGUCACCAGCACUAAUUUCUACUCUCAUAAAUGAAGAUUUUAAAAACAUAUGCUUGAAACUUCCAGUGAUGAUGAACAAUUUGUAUUUAUUUAUAUCUACAACAUAACAAAACAUUCCAAUAUACUUUACAGGAAAAUAUUAGUCAUAAUUGACACUGAGCCACACAAGAUUUAUGUCUUAAUGGAGGAAAGUGAAGUAGAGGAAAUUUUUGAUCUUAGGCUCUAGAUACAUGGAAGACUAGGCACAAAUUAAAGGGAUGACAAUAACUUAAUGUUCACAAGGCAAUAAUCAAAUGAAUAGUAGGUUUGCCAUAUGACAAUAAAGUAGAUUUGGUAGAUUAGAACCAUAUUUUCUAGAGUUCAGAAGGACAAGAAAAGAUCGUGUUUAAAUUUACAAAGCUCUUAAAGAGCUUGAUAAGGCAUGUGCAAAGAGGAUGUUUGCCCUGAACGAGGAGUCUAGGUGCACAGUUUGAGAAUAAGGGGGUAGGCCUUUUAAGACUGAGAAAGGUGACAAACCUUUGAAAUUGCUUAUUCUUUAACAGCCAGGGAAGCUCAUUCAUUAUGUUCAAUUAAAACAGAGAUCAAUAGAUUCCUGGGCAUUAAGGAAAUCAAUGGAUAUUCAGGUAGUUCAGUAAAGUGGCACUGAGAUGCAAUAUUGGCAAUGAUCUUGAUGAAUUGUGGACUGGGUUUCCUCCUACUCCUAUUUCUGAUGAAUGUAGAGCUCUGAAAGGGUUAGAGAAGAUUACAGAGCCAGCACUUGAAAUGCAAGGAUGAAGUUGGAACUAGUGUAUGUCAAUAAACACCAGUAAUAAUGCAAAUCAGAAUGUGUGGCAGAAUUUGCAAGACAGGAAAGUAAAGGAGUCUGGGGCUGAAAGGAAAAUUGGAUAGGCAUGAG